GAUCUAUUGUGGAAACUAUGAAGUCACGUAAAAUAGACUCACUUGAGAGAGAAUCAGGCUGGCAGAGGUGGUCACCAACAACUUGGAGAAGUGAAGCAAAGACAUCCAAAGCUGCAAAAUACACUGAAAUCCAUCUUGGGAGAAGAAUAUCCUGGUGUCUGGUAGGGUGGCUUUUUAUUUUCUACUUUUCAGUGAUACCGUGUUUUUCCUUUCAUGUUUUGAUUUGACCAGCACUUACUGGGUCUCUCCUCCUGUGUCCCAGCGCUCUGCCAGGGUACCAAGCAUAAUCGGUCUUGGACCUUUCCUAGAAAGAGCUUAGAGGGUGAGAGGGUGGGAGCUGGGAGAAAGAUGGAGCACAGGCAGAAAUGGGACAGGUAUAACAGUUAUCACGGGGAUGUGAGAGUGUUGGAGGAACUGGUCAGGGAACAUUGUAAUUCCACUCAGGUCACGGUGAUUCUUCUAUAGCCCCGCUCCCCCUCUGGCAGCAGCAAAGGAGGCGGACAAGCCAGGAACACCCAGGAAGGCAGGGUCACCAUUGCCUAGGAGGCGUGUUGGUGUCCCCAGAGCAGCGUUCUGGGGGUGCGGUCCCACUGUUCCCCACGUGGAUUCAUCAGUGUGGGAAUGACGCUUCCCCAGUGACCCUCCUCAGGCCCGCGCGAGGCCACUGCGGUGUUGGCACGGGAGGCCCUGCAUCUGUUCCUUUUAUUUGUUCUGUUAAAGAAAAAGGCCCAUUGAGGGUGCGCCGGGGGAUCCUAACCGCUGGUCACAGGGCGAUUAUUUAUUACGAGCCUUGAAUACCUUCCUGAUUGUAUAAGGUUUUAUUGUGUUUUUACAUGGAGGGCAGACUUGGGGAGUCAAUUUGGCAGCCGAGACAGGGGGAGAAAAAGGGCUUUCAGGGAUCAUUCUGGGAGUUAAAAGUUCACCUCGAGGCAGAGGUUCAGAGACUUGGUGCAAUUCUGGAGAUACCACCAGAAGCCUCUCGAAUCCCCAUUAGCGCUUAGCCCUCUGUGGAAAGUCAUAAAAAAAGACAAUUUCCCCCUUUCUCCUAACAAUAAUGUGACUUCCCCUCUAAGGCGCUCAACUGUUGGACUCCAGGAGGCCUGAGAGUGAAGGGGAAUCAGUUUCCAAAUUGCCGAGCUGUUCCUCCAGUAUCGUGGGUCCCGGUUGAGCGGGAGGAAGGGCACCUCGGGCUGGUUGGGGGUGAUGAUGCUGCAUAGAGAGGAGCCUCAUGUUCUCCAUCUGUGAAAAGUAGGGGUCUGGCCAGACCGGUUCUGGGAGGUUUGGUCUUUCCGGCUUGGAAAUGCCAUGAUUCCUUGGGCUUGUGCUUCAACUGCUGUGACGUUUCCGGCAACAUUGCUGAGGGUGACAGAACGGGUCAUUCUUGGGUUGUGUUGAGCAACCCAGGGCCUCAACACAGAGAGGAGCCUCUUUUCCCUGAUACACAAGCUUACGUAUGUGCCACAAACUUGAAUUCCACCCAGGUCUGCCCUGGCACACGGAGCCUCUGACCACCACCAGCAGCUCCCCACCACCCCUUCCUUCCCACUAGUUACUGAGUGCAGACAGUGUGACAGCCAGUAGAUGAAUGAUAUUAUUUCAAUUCAUCCUCACAAAAAUCUUAUUAUCACCUGCACUUGGGCUCAGAGAGGUUUUUGCAACUCAUCUAGGGUCUCACCCAUAGCAAGUAAUAGAGGGAAGCUUUAAACUCAGGUCAGAGAGAUACAAAUGCCAUCUCCCAACCUCCGGUGACCUGCCUCUGGGCAGAACAUGGGAAUCUCAGCACCUCCUUCUAGUUCUGGAGUCACCUCAGCUCUGGGAUUACUUAGCUCUGGGCUGACCUCAUUGUGGCCUUGGGCAAACCAUGCUCUGCUUCACCUUUCUGUACUGAAAAA
Molecule: long non-coding RNA, 1892 nt
Filed under: Sus scrofa (pig)
Lineage: Eukaryota; Metazoa; Chordata; Mammalia; Artiodactyla; Suidae
Description: lncRNA (ENSSSCG00045022636.1, ENSSSCG00065060830.1)
Source: RNAcentral